AGGAUGAACGCUGGCGGCGUGCUUAACACAUGCAAGUCGAACGAUGAUGCCAGCUUGCUGGUGGAUUAGUGGCGAACGGGUGAGUAACACGUGAGUAACCUGCCCUUAACUCUGGGAUAAGCCUGGGAAACUGGGUCUAAUACCGGAUAUGACUCCUCAUCGCAUGGUGGGGGUGAAAGCUUUUUGUGGUUUUGGAUGGACUCGCGGCCUAUCAGCUUGUUGGUGAGGUAAUGGCUCACCAAGGCGACGACGGGUAGCCGGCCUGAGAGGGUGACCGGCCACGACUGGGACUGAGACACGGCCCAGACUCCUACGGGAGCAGCAGUGGGAAUAGUGCACAAUGGGCGAAAGCCUGAUGCAGCGACGCCGCGUGAGGGAUGGACGGCCUUCGGGUUGUAAACCUCGUUACAGGUAGGAAGAAGACGAAAGUGACGUACUGACAGAAGAACGCGCCGACUAACCGUACGUGACCAGCACGCCGAC
RNAcentral lists this ribosomal RNA (483 nucleotides) under uncultured soil bacterium. RNAcentral describes it as "bacterial SSU rRNA". It matches the Rfam family "Bacterial small subunit ribosomal RNA", at positions 26 to 522 of the family's 1533-position model. The record is from RNAcentral.